AAAUUCUCGACAUCAUGGACAUUGACAACAAACCGUCCUGGAUGGACCCAAUCAUAGAAUUCAUCACAAGUGGAAAUCUACCAAGCGAUGAAAGGUUGGCUAGAAGCAUCAAAGCUCGAGCUCCUAGGUACUACAUGAUCAGCGGUGUCCUCUUUCGCAGAAGUAUUACUCUUCCAUACCUAAGGUGCCUUAGACCAUCAGAAUCAUCCCAGGCCCUUGCUGAAGUUCAUGAAGGUGUGUGCGGGAAUUAUCAAAGAGCCAGGGCCUUGGCCUUUAAACUUAUACGAUAUGGAUACUAUUGGCCAACUAUGAAGAAAGACGCCUCAGAAUAUGUUAAAAGAUGUGAUAGGUGCCAGAGGUUUGGUAAUGUUAUCCAUUCACCAGCCGAAGACCUCACCAACAUUAACUGUUCGGCCCCGUUUGAACAAUGGAGAGUUGACAUCCUCGGCCCCUUUCCUGUGGCAAGAGGUCAAUUAAAGUUUGUUGCUGUAGCAGUAGAGUAUUUCACAAAAUGGGCAGAGGCCGAACCUCUCGCCACGAUAUCGGAGCCCAAGCUAAGAGCCUUCACUUGGAGGUCUAUCAUUUGCAGGUCUGGGAUACCAAAGGUCCUCAUCACUGACAAUGGCAGGCAAUUUGACAAUCAACAGUUCAGGGACUUUUGCUCAAACCUUGGGAUUGAUCACCGUCUGACUUCAGUUUCGCAUCCUCAGAGCAAUGGUCUGGCCGAGGUAGCAAAUCGAAUCAUAUUACAAGACCUCCGAACAAGAAUUAGUAAUGCUAGGGGUUCUUGGUUCGAUGAGCUGCCUUCUAUACUGUGGACAUAUCGAACAACUCAUAGGACAACCACAGGAGAAACCCCUUUUAUGUUAGCUUAUGACAUUGAAGCAAUGGUCCCGAUGGAAAUUAGGCUGCCAAGCCACAGGAGGCUCGUGCCAGAAACCUCGGGGCAUACAACUGAACACCUUGAUCUCUUGGAAGAAGUGCGGGAGCAAGUCGCUAUAAAGGUGGCCUCUUACCAAACUAAGACAGCAAAACAUUUUAAUAAAAAAGUCAAGACUCGGAGGUUCAGAGCUGGCGACUUGGUCCUAAGGAGGGCCGAAGCUGUAGGUCAUCCCCCAUGGAAGCUCAGGCCCAUCUGGGAAGGACCCUUUGAGGUCAUACGACAGGUUCGCAAAGGAGCAUACAGCCUAAGAGACACUUCGGGUAGACCUCUUCCAAGGCCCUGGAAUGUCGAUAAUCUGAAAAUAUAUUACAAGUAACAUUCCCGAUGCCAUCUAAGAGAUUUUCUUUUUAUUCCUGCAUUUUUAAUUCUUCUGAAUGUUAUUUUUGGUUCCUCGGGCCUGCGUGCCCUUGCAUUUUAUUUCUCUAGUUUAGCGGGCCUGCGUGCCCAUGCAUGUUUUCUGUUUUCUUUUAUAAUGAACUACGUUCGGUUUGAUCCCAUUUGGGUACAUAGUUAGCUUGGAUACAAUAUAAAUCCAAGUCCAGUCCGAGAAAUUAGUAAAUUC
This 1505-nucleotide long non-coding RNA is filed under the name Olea europaea subsp. europaea. The record is from RNAcentral. Lineage: Eukaryota; Viridiplantae; Streptophyta; Magnoliopsida; Lamiales; Oleaceae.